UUUCSGUAGGUGAACCUGCGGAAGGAUCAUUG
Molecule: ribosomal RNA, 32 nt
Filed under: Evelynastra pallida
Lineage: Eukaryota; Viridiplantae; Streptophyta; Magnoliopsida; Caryophyllales; Amaranthaceae
Description: Sericocomopsis pallida ribosomal RNA
Source: RNAcentral